GUAACUAUGCACGUCUUGACGGUACCUAAUCAGAAAGCCACGGCUAACUACGUGCCAGCAGCCGCGGUAAUACGUAGGUGGCAAGCGUUAUCCGGAAUUAUUGGGCGUAAAGCGCGCGUAGGCGGUUUUUAGUUACUGAUAGUUGGUAAGGAACCCGCCCGGACGGUCCUAACCCGUAACGGGUAGGGGGUACGGUACUUAGGUUAAACGGUAACGGUAAACGGUUAAACGUUGGUAGGUCGACGAAAGGAAAGGGAAAGGGUAAGGGUAAGGUUAACCUUACUAGGUUGGUUAGGUACGGGUCGGGUAAAGUAAGUCGGUACGGUAAGGAAGUUUUAGGUUAGGGGAAACGAACCCACGUAGGGUCGGAACGGACGGACCGGACCGGGCCCGGACGGUACGGUUCGGGGUAGGGGCGAACGGACGGACCAACCGACGGGGGAAGGUAAGGAG
Molecule: ribosomal RNA, 453 nt
Filed under: uncultured bacterium
Lineage: Bacteria
Description: partial 16S ribosomal RNA
Rfam family: Bacterial small subunit ribosomal RNA (bases 1-93)
Source: RNAcentral